Molecule: ribosomal RNA, 468 nt
Filed under: uncultured bacterium
Lineage: Bacteria
Description: partial 16S ribosomal RNA
Rfam family: Bacterial small subunit ribosomal RNA
Source: RNAcentral
GACGAACGCUGGCGGCGUGCUUAACACAUGCAAGUCGAACGGAAAGGCCCUGCUUUUGUGGGGUGCUCGAGUUGCGAACGGGUGAGUAACACGUGAGUAACCUGCCCUUGACUUUGGGAUAACUUCAUGAAACUGGGGCUAAUACCGGAUAGGAGCUCCUGCUGCAUGGUGGGGGUUGGAAAGUUUCGGCGGUUGGGGAUGGACUCGCGGCUUAUCAGCUUGUUGGUGGGGUAGUGGCUUACCAAGGCUUUGACGGGUAGCCGGCCUGAGAGGGUGACCGGCCACAUUGGGACUGAGAUGCGGCCCAGACUCCUACGGGAGGCAGCAGUGGGGAAGAGUGCACAGUGGGCGGAAGCCUGAUGCAGCAAAGCCGCGUGGGGGAUGACGGCCUUCGGGUUGUAAACCGCUUUCGCCUGUGACGAAGCGUGAGUGACGGUAAUGGGUAAAGAAGCACCGGCUAACUCCGUG